This 249-nucleotide ribosomal RNA is filed under the name uncultured bacterium. RNAcentral's name for it is "partial 16S ribosomal RNA". It matches the Rfam family "Bacterial small subunit ribosomal RNA", at positions 1243 to 1500 of the family's 1533-position model. The record is from RNAcentral.
CGGGAAGCCACCUGGCGACAGGGAGCGGAACCCGAAAGCCUGUCUCAGUUCGGAUCGGAGUCUGCAACCCGACUCCGUGAAGCUGGAUUCGCUAGUAAUCGCGCAUCAGCCAUGGCGCGGUGAAUACGUUCCCGGGCCUUGUACACACCGCCCGUCAAGCCAUGGGAGCCGAGGGCGCUUGAAGUGCGUCGCCGCGAGGCGCGCCCUAGAGCGAAAUCGGUGACUGGGGCUAAGUCGUAACAAGGUAAC